UUCUUAGGUAUAGGGAAUAAAAAUGCAGCCUAAAUAAAUAUUAAGACUUGCACAAAAAGACCUAGUUUCUUUUAGUUAAGUGAAAUACAUUUAAAAUAUUGUGUUCACAUAACAUUCUGGCUGGGUUAGUUGUAUGAAAAACAAGGGUGCCAAAAUCAAGUUGUAGACUGCAUCCAGAAAAACAGAGUAAAAAUGUCAAUUCUGCUUUAAUAUGACUGAAGCAAUACUGCUGUAAACAUGAGAAGAUGAUCUGUGGUAAAAUUAUGGUAUGCAAAUUUUUUAUAUUUUAAGCGCACUGUCUUGGUGAGCAUUUGCCUGCAUUCCCAAGGAGGCUAAUCCAUCCUAGAUACAGUACGUGUAACUUCCGGGAAGUCUAAAGUGCUUCAACGAUAAGGAACGUGCGGUGUUCUCUGAAAUCGCUGUUUCACUCAGGCAGAUGUGCAUGCAUAUAUCUGCAGGAGACAACCAUAAAGCAUCAUCCUGAAGUCAUCCUAGCUAAAAAAAAAACAACCCAGCUCCAAAGAAACCACCAGAUGCUGAGACUUUACAUUCCUGAGGAAGAGAACUGCUCAGUAAAUACUCCUACACUGCCUCCAAGACUCAAAAAUCAAGAUAACUGGGUUUUCUCUUCUGCAAAAUGGAAGUGAAAAGGAAGCCUCUGUUCAGAAAGUGCCCAUGAAUACUCAAGGCAAGCUGUAGCACUGUCUGUUCAGUCCAGGUAAUUAAAAUCAAACAGAAUUGUGAAUGCCCUAUCAAAAGGAAUUGACUCAUGGCAAUUAAAGGCAAUUGCCUUAUAGUUAUACAGUAGUAAUAUAAG
RNAcentral lists this long non-coding RNA (817 nucleotides) under Gallus gallus (chicken). RNAcentral describes it as "lncRNA (ENSGALG00010015499.1)". The record is from RNAcentral. Lineage: Eukaryota; Metazoa; Chordata; Aves; Galliformes; Phasianidae.